GACGAACGCUGGCGGCGUGCCUAAUACAUGCAAGUCGAACGAACAGACCAGCAUCUUGCUCCUCUGACGGUAGCGGCGGACGGGUGAGUAACACGUGGAUAACCUACCUAUAAGACUCGGAUAACUUCGGGAAACUGGAGACAAUACCUGAUUAUAUAUUGAACCGCAUGGUGCAAUCGUUAAUGGCGGUUUUGCUUUCACUGGUAGAUGGUUCGGCGCCGCAUUAUCUAGUUGGUAAGGUAACGGCUUACCAAGGCAACGAUGCGUAGCCGACCUGAGAGGGUGAUCGGCCACGCUGGAACUGAGACACGGUCCAGGCUCCUACGGGUGGCAGCAGUAGGGGAGCUUAAGCAAUGGGCGAAAGCCUGACGGAGAAACGGCGCGUGAGUGAUGAAGGUCUUCGGAUCGUAAAACUCUGUUAUUAGGGAAGAACAGAUGUGUAAGUAACUAUGAACGUCUUGACGGUACCUGAACAGAAAGCCACGGCUAACUACGUG
RNAcentral lists this ribosomal RNA (497 nucleotides) under uncultured bacterium. RNAcentral's name for it is "partial 16S ribosomal RNA". It matches the Rfam family "Bacterial small subunit ribosomal RNA", at positions 28 to 507 of the family's 1533-position model. The record is from RNAcentral.